GAUGAACGCUGGCGGCGUGCCUAAUACAUGCAAGUCGAGCGAACAGACGAGGAGCUUGCUCCUCUGACGUUAGCGGCGGACGGGUGAGUAACACGUGGAUAACCUACCUAUAAGACUGGGAUAACUUCGGGAAACCGGAGCUACUACCGGAUAAUAUAUUGAACCGCAUGGUUCAAUAGUGAAAGACAGUUUUGCUGUCACUUAUAGAUGGAUCCGCGCCGCAUUAGCUAGUUGGUAAGGUAACGGCUUACCAAGGCAACGAUGCGUAGCCGACCUGAGAGGGUGAUCGGCCACACUGGAACUGAGACACGGUCCAGACUCCUACGGGAGGCAGCAGUAGGGAAUCUUCCGCAAUGGGCGAAAGCCUGACGGAGCAACGCCGCGUGAGUGAUGAAGGUCUUCGGAUCGUAAAACUCUGUUAUUAGGGAAGAACAAAUGUGUAAGUAACUAUGCACGUCUUGACGGUACCUAAUCAGAAAGCCACGGCUAACUACGUG
This 497-nucleotide ribosomal RNA is filed under the name uncultured bacterium. RNAcentral describes it as "partial 16S ribosomal RNA". It matches the Rfam family "Bacterial small subunit ribosomal RNA", at positions 28 to 507 of the family's 1533-position model. The record is from RNAcentral.